UGGACCUACGGGUGGACUUCACGGGCUGAAAAGAUUGCCUGAGCCAAGAGGAACCAGCUCCAGGGAAGGUGAGGUGAGUGAGAAGAAGGUCACUGCUGACGUCAGGGACAUUCAGGAAACCGCUGAGCACAAAGGCAGCAUUGAUUCUCCACCACCCGUGAGGGGACUCUGGGAGGCCCGGCCGCCGCCGCGCGCUGCUUACCGCACCCUCUCGCCCGCACCUGGGGGAGCACGAUGUUCCGACCUUCUGCUUGGGAGUCUGAGCCCAGAGGCUCCGCCCGCCGCGCGCUGCUUACCGCACCCUCUCGCCCGCACCUGGGGGAGCACGAUGUUCCGACCUUCUGCUUGGGAGUCUGAGCCCACUGCAGCGGCUCCGUCGGCACCUGGAGGGCAGGCCUCACCUGCGAGCCGCCUCUGGGUCCUGGCCUCUGGCCAGGAGGCGUUCAGAACCGGAGGGGAACAGCUUCCUACCCCAGCCCAGUCCUUCUGGGAGGAGUUGGCAGGGGCCUCCGUUGCGUUGCCAACGUACGACCUCUUUUCCUGGAUAAACACAGCUCUGUCUCUGCAGCCAUCAGGCCGGCCUUCUUAA
This 589-nucleotide long non-coding RNA is filed under the name Sus scrofa (pig). RNAcentral describes it as "lncRNA (ENSSSCG00005014289.1)". The record is from RNAcentral. Lineage: Eukaryota; Metazoa; Chordata; Mammalia; Artiodactyla; Suidae.